This is a long non-coding RNA of Apis dorsata (giant honeybee), 593 nucleotides long. RefSeq lists it as uncharacterized. The record is from RefSeq and is a predicted model, not a curated record. NCBI's taxonomy places the organism in Eukaryota, Metazoa, Arthropoda, Insecta, Hymenoptera, Apidae. The transcript has 2 exons.
AUCUUGUUGUGUAUUAUACAUAGAAAUAAGUGCCGAAACGAGCUGCUCUGUUCCUUUUUUUUGCUUUUAUCAUUUUUCCACUUCGAUUACAUAUGUAUAAUAUCGUUUUCUUCUUGUAUGAUCAUAAUAAUAAUAAUGAUAAUGAUAAUAAUAUAAUAAUAAUAAUAAUAAGAAAAAAGGGGGUCAUGCGACUCGAAUGCCGUAUGCGAUGUUUUCUGUUUUUUAUGUACUUACUAACUUUUUUUUCUUCUCUAUCUUAUUUCCAUAAAAUCAUUUCGCUUUUAAUUAAAUUUCCAUUUCUGAAUUCCAUUUUCCUAACAGCACAUACUUUCACACUUUUAAAUUCGUUGGGUGCUGGUUUGAACCGUGCAGGUCCGUAAAUCAAUAAAUAAAUAGAGGAACAACAUUUAUCAAACAUUUUUUUUCUUAUAACAACAUUAGAGGCUCUUGGAACAUAACGCAACAAAUGUUCAACAAUACAAUCACGAAAACAAAUAGAAGGCACUCUUACAUUUUUUUAUCAACAAAUUAAUUUCUUUUCGUAACGACUCACGGGUAAUCUAUGCGUUCUAGGCCUUUAUCGUUUCGUCUAC